UACGUAGGGGGCAAGCGUUGUCCGGAAUCAUUGGGCGUAAAGAGCGCGUAGGCGGCCCUGUAAGUCCGCUGUGAAAGUCAAGGGCUCAACCCUUGGAUGCCGGUGGAUACUGCAGGGCUAGAGUCCGGAAGAGGCGAGUGGAAUUCCUGGUGUAGCGGUGAAAUGCGUAGAUAUCGGAAAGAACACCAGUGGCGAAGGCGGCUUCCUGGACCAAUACUGACACUGAGGUGCGAAAGCGUGGGGAGCAAACAGG
Molecule: ribosomal RNA, 253 nt
Filed under: uncultured bacterium
Lineage: Bacteria
Description: partial 16S ribosomal RNA
Rfam family: Bacterial small subunit ribosomal RNA
Source: RNAcentral